This 274-nucleotide ribosomal RNA is filed under the name uncultured bacterium. Its description in RNAcentral is "partial 16S ribosomal RNA". It matches the Rfam family "Bacterial small subunit ribosomal RNA", at positions 523 to 796 of the family's 1533-position model. The record is from RNAcentral.
AUACGGAGGUUGCAAGCGUUAUUCGGAAUCACGGGGCGUAAAGGACGCGUAGGCGGGUUGGCAAGUCAGAUGUGAAAUCCUACAGCUUAACUGUAGAACUGCAUUUGAAACUGCUAACCUAGAGUAUGGGAGGGGGAGAUGGAAUUAGUGGUGUAGGGGUAAAAUCCGUAGAUAUCACUAGGAAUACCGAAAGCGAAGGCGAUCUCCUGGAACAUAACUGACGCUAAGGCGUGAAAGCGUGGGGAGCAAACAGGAUUAGAAACCCUAGUAGUCC